GCCUGUGUGGGGUAAUGCUUUGCAUGCUGGACUAUGACUCUGGAGACCAAGGUUCAAUUCCCAGCUUGGCCA
Phrynosoma platyrhinos (Desert horned lizard) is the source of this 72-nucleotide non-coding RNA. The record is from the annotation of a GenBank genome assembly. NCBI's taxonomy places the organism in Eukaryota, Metazoa, Chordata, Lepidosauria, Squamata, Phrynosomatidae.